RNAcentral lists this ribosomal RNA (288 nucleotides) under uncultured Sphingobacterium sp. Its description in RNAcentral is "partial 16S ribosomal RNA". It matches the Rfam family "Bacterial small subunit ribosomal RNA", at positions 9 to 297 of the family's 1533-position model. The record is from RNAcentral. Lineage: Bacteria; Pseudomonadati; Bacteroidota; Sphingobacteriia; Sphingobacteriales; Sphingobacteriaceae.
GAGUUUGAUCAUGGCUCAGGAUGAACGCUAGCGGCAGGCCUAAUACAUGCAAGUCGAACGGGAAUAGGGAGCUUGCUCCCUAUGAGAGUGGCGCACGGGUGCGUAACGCGUAUGCAACCUACCUUUAACAGGGGGAUAGCUCACCGAAAGGUGAAUUAAUACCGCAUAAUAUUAUUGAGGGGCAUUCCUUGAUAAUCAAAACUCCGGUGGUUAAAGAUGGGGCAUGCGUGUCAUUAGCUAGUUGUGAGGUAACGCUCACCAAGGCAACGAUGACUAGGGGAUCUGAGA